Molecule: ribosomal RNA, 497 nt
Filed under: uncultured bacterium
Lineage: Bacteria
Description: partial 16S ribosomal RNA
Rfam family: Bacterial small subunit ribosomal RNA
Source: RNAcentral
GAUGAACGCUGGCGGCGUGCCUAAUACAUGCAAGUCGAGCGAACGGACGAGAAUCUUGCUUCUCUUAUGUUAUCGGCGGACGGGUGAGGGACACGUAGCUAACCUAUCUAUAAGACUGGAAUAACUUAUGGAAACCGGAGCUAAUGCCGAAUAAUAGUUUGAACUGCAUGGUUGAAAAGGUGAUGACGGUCUUUCUUCUAGUUGUAGAUGAAUCGGCGCUGGAUUAUCUAGUUGUUAAGGUGACGGCUGACUAAGGCAACGAUGAAUAGCCGACCUGAGGGGGUGAUCGGCCACACUGGCACUGAGACUCGGUCCAGGCUCCUACGGGAGGCAGAAGUAGGGAAUCUUACGCAAUGGGAGAGAGCCUGACGGAGCAACGGCGAGUGAGUGAUGAAGGUCUUCGGAUCGUAAAACUAUGUUAUUAGGGAAGAACAUAUGUGCACGUAACUGUGAACAUCGUGACGGUAGCUAAAGAGAAAGCAACGGCUAACUACGUG